AUUUAUACCGUGAAACUGCGAAUGGCUCAUUAAAUCAGUUAUCGUUUAUUUGAUAGUACCUUACUACUUGGAUAACCGUGGUAAUUCUAGAGCUAAAUACAUGCUGAAAACCUCGACUUCGGAAGGGGUGUAUUUAUUAGAUAAAAAACCAACGCCCUUCGGGGCUUUUUGGUGAUUCAUGAUAACUUUUCGGAUCGCAUGGCCUUGCGCCGGCGACGGUUCAUUCAAAUUUCUGCCCUAUCAACUUUCGAUGGUAAGGUAUUGGCUUACCAUGGUUUCAACGGGUAACGGGGAAUUAGGGUUCGAUUCCGGAGAGGGAGCCUGAGAAACGGCUACCACAUCCAAGGAAGGCAGCAGGCGCGCAAAUUACCCAAUCCCGAUACGGGGAGGUAGUGACAAUAAAUACUGAUACAGGGCUCUUUUGGGUCUUGUAAUUGGAAUGAGUACAAUUUAAACCUCUUAACGAGGAACAAUUGGAGGGCAAGUCUGGUGCCAGCAGCCGCGGUAAUUCCAGCUCCAAUAGCGUAUAUUAAAGUUGUUGCAGUUAAAAAGCUCGUAGUUGAAACUUGGGUCUGGCUGGCAGGUCCGCCUCACCGCGUGUACUUGUCCGGCCGGGCCUUCCUUCUGGAGAACCUCAUGCCCUUCACUGGGCGUGUUGGGGACCAGGACUUUUACUUUGAAAAAAUUAGAGUGUUCAAAGCAGGCCUUUGCUCGAAUACGUUAGCAUGGAAUAAUAGAAUAGGACGUGCGGUCCUAUUUUGUUGGUUUCUAGGACCGCCGUAAUGAUUAAUAGGGACAGUCGGGGGCAUCAGUAUUCAAUUGUCAGAGGUGAAAUUCUUGGAUUUAUUGAAGACUAACUACUGCGAAAGCAUUUGCCAAGGAUGUUUUCAUUAAUCAGUGAACGAAAGUUAGGGGAUCGAAGACGAUCAGAUACCGUCGUAGUCUUAACCGUAAACUAUGCCGACUAGGGAUCGGGCGCUGUUCUUUUUCUGACGCGCUCGGCACCUUACGAGAAAUCAAAGUUUUUGGGUUCUGGGGGGGA
RNAcentral lists this ribosomal RNA (1042 nucleotides) under Megacoelomyces sancheziae. RNAcentral describes it as "SSU rRNA". It matches the Rfam family "Eukaryotic small subunit ribosomal RNA", at positions 72 to 1122 of the family's 1831-position model. The record is from RNAcentral. Lineage: Eukaryota; Fungi; Ascomycota; Dothideomycetes; Pleosporales; Phaeosphaeriaceae.